AGGACGAACGCUGGCGGCGUGCUUAACACAUGCAAGUCGAACGGUGACCCUCGGAGCUUGCUUCGGGGUGAUCAGUGGCGAACGGGUGAGUAACACGUGAGUAACCUGCCCCAGACUCUGGGAUAACCCCGGGAAACCGGAGCUAAUACCGGAUACGACACGGAGAGGCAUCUCUACCGUGUGGAAAGUUUUUCGGUCUGGGAUGGACUCGCGGCCUAUCAGCUUGUUGGUGAGGUAAUGGCUCACCAAGGCGACGACGGGUAGCCGGCCUGAGAGGGCGACCGGCCACACUGGGACUGAGACACGGGCCCAGACUCCUACGGGAGGCAGCAGUGGGGAAUAUUGCACAAUGGGCGAAAGCCUGAUGCAGCGACGCCGCGUGAGGGAUGAAGGCCUUCGGGUUGUAAACCUCUUUCAGCAGGGAAGAAGCGAAAGUGACGGUACCUGCAGAAGAAGCACCGGCUAACUACGCGCCAGCAGCCGCGGU
This 487-nucleotide ribosomal RNA is filed under the name uncultured bacterium. RNAcentral describes it as "SSU rRNA". It matches the Rfam family "Bacterial small subunit ribosomal RNA", at positions 26 to 521 of the family's 1533-position model. The record is from RNAcentral.